GGUUGUGCUCAGUGGUACAGUGUUCACCUAGCAUGCAUGAGGCCCUGGGUUCGAUUCUCAGCACCA
This 66-nucleotide transfer RNA is filed under the name Marmota monax (woodchuck). RNAcentral describes it as "tRNA.Ala". The record is from RNAcentral. Lineage: Eukaryota; Metazoa; Chordata; Mammalia; Rodentia; Sciuridae.